UACGAAGGGAGCAAGCGUUGUUCGGAAUCACUGGGCGUAAAGCGCGCGUAGGCGGCUUUUCAAGUCAGAGGUGAAAUGCCAGGGCUUAACCCUGGAACUGCCUUUGAAACUGUUAAGCUGGAGUACUGGAAGGGAUGGCGGAAUUCCUAAUGUAGAGGUGAAAUUCGUAGAUAUUAGGAGGAACACCGGUGGCGAAGGCGGCCAUCUGGACAGUAACUGACGCUGAGGCGCGAAAGUGCGGGGAUCAAACAGG
Molecule: ribosomal RNA, 253 nt
Filed under: uncultured bacterium
Lineage: Bacteria
Description: partial 16S ribosomal RNA
Rfam family: Bacterial small subunit ribosomal RNA
Source: RNAcentral